This 555-nucleotide ribosomal RNA is filed under the name uncultured bacterium. Its description in RNAcentral is "partial 16S ribosomal RNA". It matches the Rfam family "Bacterial small subunit ribosomal RNA", at positions 355 to 902 of the family's 1533-position model. The record is from RNAcentral.
UGGGGAAUUUUGGACAAUGGGGGGAAACCCUGAUCCAGCCAUCCCGCGUGUGCGAUGAAGGCCUUCGGGUUGUAAAGCACUUUUGGCAGGAAAGAAACGUCGCGGGUUAAUACCCCGCGAAACUGACGGUACCUGCAGAAUAAGCACCGGCUAACUACGUGCCAGCAGCCGCGGUAAUACGUAGGGUGCAAGCGUUAAUCGGAAUUACUGGGCGUAAAGCGUGCGCAGGCGGUUCGGAAAGAAAGAUGUGAAAUCCCAGAGCUUAACUUUGGAACUGCAUUUUUAACUACCGGGCUAGAGUGUGUCAGAGGGAGGUGGAAUUCCGCGUGUAGCAGUGAAAUGCGUAGAUAUGCGGAGGAACACCGAUGGCGAAGGCAGCCUCCUGGGAUAACACUGACGCUCAUGCACGAAAGCGUGGGGAGCAAACAGGAUUAGAUACCCUGGUAGUCCACGCCCUAAACGAUGUCAACUAGCUGUUGGGGCCUUCGGGCCUUGGUAGCGCAGCUAACGCGUGAAGUUGACCGCCUGGGGAGUNCGGUCGCAAGAUUAAAACUC